RNAcentral lists this ribosomal RNA (253 nucleotides) under uncultured bacterium. RNAcentral's name for it is "partial 16S ribosomal RNA". It matches the Rfam family "Bacterial small subunit ribosomal RNA", at positions 524 to 776 of the family's 1533-position model. The record is from RNAcentral.
UACGUAGGGGGCAAGCGUUAUCCGGAUUUACUGGGUGUAAAGGGAGCGUAGGCGGCCAUGUAAGUCGGAAGUGAAAGCCCGGGGCUCAACCCCGGGACUGCUUUUGAGACUGUGUGGCUGGAGUGUCGGAGGGGUAAGUGGAAUUCCUAGUGUAGCGGUGAAAUGCGUAGAUAUUAGGAGGAACACCAGUGGCGAAGGCGGCUUACUGGACGAUCACUGACGCUGAGGCUCGAAAGCGUGGGGAGCAAACAGG